Molecule: long non-coding RNA, 1935 nt
Organism: Hibiscus syriacus
Lineage: Eukaryota; Viridiplantae; Streptophyta; Magnoliopsida; Malvales; Malvaceae
Exons: 5
Source: RefSeq, a predicted model, not a curated record
CAUGCUCUCUCAACUCUCCCUCUUCAAUCAUAUGGCUAUCGCAUCUCAAGGAAAAGAAGACCAAACUCACUGGCCACCGCUCAACCACCAUAUUUCGGUGGUAGCUCGCCCCUCCUACCGCUACUAGACUCGACCUGGUAAGCCCUAAGACCACCCAAAACUUAAUCGAUCCUUUUUUCUCUUUUAAUCUCUCUCUUCACUUCGACCGAAACCAAAGAGAGACCAACACAGCCGUAGAUCUAUGUUCUUCAACCCUUGGGCCACCACCAGCGGUGGCCGGUCGAACCUUAACUCGACCUAGACCAAACCAAACUCCCCUUUCUUCUCCUUUUCAAAACAUAGAGAACCCAAAAACAACAAUCCUCCCGAACGCCGAAACUAAACUCCGACCGCUCGUUUUCCUUUCACUCCUGUGAUGCUAGCUCCAACAAAAGGGACCCUAUGACUCAGAUUUAUUUGCAGGUUAUUGGGUUCGUUCUUCUCUGGUUUGGGCUUGUUCUUUUCUAGUCUACAACACCCAUCUGAUCCAUGAUUCCCCUCAGGUAUGUUUCCCGCCUAAUCCAUCUCCAAAAUCCCUAAUUCGAUCAUUUCCCCCAAUUGCUUCUACUGUUUUCCCAUUUCCACCUCGUGGGUCAUGACAAUAACCCCAGCUACAGUUGAUGGUUGUCCCCAAGGAUCAAAGUCAGGGAAUUGUGAUCGCAGUACCGUGAAAUCUUCCCAGGUUGCGUUUUCCACUCCUAAAUUCGACCACUGGAUUAAUAGUUGAAUAAUUGCCUUGUUGUUCCUUUUCAGAACUCUCUUAUCCAAAACGAUCGCAGGAUAAACCCGAAGCUAGCCAUCAGAAGUAAGUUCAGGGACCAUAGUAACGAGCAGACAAUUUUAGAUUUCUACGUAAGGCCAAUGAUGUCUUCUGAUAAGGUUGAAGCUUAAGUUAUUAUGCAGGAGAAGAUUGUCCAAACUCAGUUCUAGCUUUUUGCAUCAGCCCCAAAAGUUGCUGGAGGCAUGUUUUAGUUUCAUUUGUUGUUGUCUCCAAGGCUUACAUCCUCUGCUCCAAAUCACGUUGUUGAUUAAGCCACCAAGUUGGAAUUGCUUCUGCUUCUGAGGGACCUUCUGGAUCAGCAGGAAUGAUCGGCGGUGGAUCAUUGUUAUUGGGUUCGUUCUUCUCUGGUUUGAGCUUGUUCUUCUCUAGUCCACAGCACCCAUCUGAUCCAUGAUUCCCCUCAAGUAUGUUUCCCGCCUAGUCCAUCUCUAAAAUCCCUAAUUCGAUCGUUUUCCCCAAUUACUUCUCAUCCUUUCCUAUUUCCGUCUUGUGGGUCAUGACAAUUACACCUUUUUUUUCCGAGAGGAACAGAAAAGUAGGAGCCCCUUACAAAUCAUUUCCGGGUUUCUUAUAUCCCGUUUACAAAGUUACCCAAAACUAAAAAAAAGCCUUCUUUUUGUUUUUACAGCUCAUAUUCCUUUUGUCCCUUUGUGCAUGAGAUUGCUGAUGAUGCAUUUUGGUGUUUGCUGGAAGCAUUUGGGGCUAUCAUUGACGCUUGCUAGAGGCUCGGUGUAAGCUUGGGUCCACUGUUGCUUCGUGACUUCUCAGGUGGCCUAAGGACCACUGCUUGGUAGAUGAGGAGGCGGUGGGGACCAGACUGGUUUCUGGCGCUGAUGUGGAAUGGAAAUCGAAUGGUGUAGAUGAGCACCGGGCUCUUGGCGGCACGACCGAAGAGAACCCUUGCUAGGGUUUUUGCACACUUAAGAAAGUUGGGCUUAGUUUCGUGGGUUAUGGGAUAGAUAUUUAGGCUUUGGGUUGCCAUGUGUUGUAUAUUUGAUUUGUAUAUGUAGCACUUUGUAUCACAUUUGAUUUGUAAACGGACACUCCUAUUGGACACUUGAAUUUGGGCAUGUAAUUUAUACAAUUGAAUUUGGUAUGUAGCACUUUGGGUUUUA